UAGCUCUACACAUCCGAUCAUCUCCGCUAAGGAAUUCCCACUAUUGACAUCCGUUCUUAAACUCGUUGAUUGCCACCUAUUCUUCCCCAACAGCCUGGUCUAAAAGCCUUUAUUAUACCUGUCUUCAUGCACAAGAUAUCUAUCUAUCUGCUCAUCAGCUCAAGAAAGGAAGAGCUAAAAUCUCCUUUGAGUUAGCUCUAGAUUACCUGGUAUUUCGCUAAUAAGUGCCUCAUUUCUCCUAUCAUCACAGGAAGACCGAUCUACCUCAGACAUAUUAUACUUCUUAGUUGCCCUAGUCUUACUCCUAUUCGAGCUCAUCGGACUCAGCUACUGUUGCCCUCCUUUCUUGAUCAAUUCCUGCUCAAUCUGCCUUCAAACCCAGGGACUCACCCGUGCAUGCCCCAUUUGCCGUCUUUCCUCAAACCCGUUCUUCCUUUGAGGAUAUCUCUGUGAAUUGAUCCAAAGCAGAACUGGCUUUUUAGUCCGAUGUCUCAGAUCUCAAGACUGGAAGGUGAGCAAACUAGAUCGCAAAGCAGGUGUCAUAUUCGAGUUCCUUUGUUGAUGAGUCCAAAGAAGAGAUAAACCCGAGCAUCUCGUUCCUUUUGCUUAGUUUUGGCCCUAGGGGGAGUAGGAAAUAAUCAACUUUAGGAUAGCCUCUCCGAGUGAAAACGGGUUUGCUGACUUUUCCCAUUAGGCGAGAUGAAAAGAGGAUAGCACCGAGUUGAGCUAAUCCAGAGGGAGAAGCGCUCAAAAGAAGAAGAAAUCAACCAGCCAGGAGGGAAUUAGAUCCUGUAAAGAAAGAGAAAACUGAUGGGUGAGCGUCAAUAACCGGUCUUCCUGGUGAGAUGAGAGCUAAAGUGGACAAGUCGGAUGAGCUGACCGGGUGUACGAAAACCCUAGAAUAGAAGAAGCGGGCGAACCUGUAACAAAGGAGGGAUUCGAGAUGAGCGAAAGAAGCAGUUUACCUUGGCAGAGAUGAGGCCAAUUCCUUGAUUGAUGAGAGUGGGAAUUGACCAGAAAUCCUUAAUUAUAAUUAUAGUAGUAGAUUGACGAGAAUGACUCUAGGAGCAGUAGCCUUUAUUGGUGUUUUCUCGCAAUGAAUUCCUGAACCAAUUGCCAAAUAGAAAGGCUAGACAUCAGUUUGUAACCAGACUAUGGAUAGGAGGGCAGGAUAUGAGGGGAAAUCAGAUCAGCAGUUCUUACCUCAAAUUGAUGAGUUCUUUGGCCUCUACUAUAUUAUAAUUAUAGGGAUUUAUUAAAGGAAAGAGGGCCAAAAGAGCCCAUUAAGAGUGACGGUACGGGCUUCUUGUUAAUGCCAAGCGGUUGUAGCCAGCGACUGAUGCCCGGACUGGGGAAGCAGGAGAGCAGCUGGGGGUAAGCCCUCUUUGGAGACCCUAUUAGCGCAGUUGUUCUUUCGAGCUAUUCUUCAAUCUACCACUUUUCUCUAUUGAUAGAUGUUGCUAGCUUAGAAAAUCCGUAUAGCUAUCCUGUACUUGUUCUUAAUAAAGGUCUUCCUUUCUUGUCUUUAGCUGAGGAGAUAGAUCUUGUGGCUGAAAACAGGUUUCCUUAGCGCAGAUGAAUGGUUAAGAAAAGGCUUACGAGCCAGAAGCAGAAGAAUAGGUAGUAGAUGUCAAUUCAAAGCUAAAUCCGAGCUAGACAAGAGUUAGUGACCAGUUGAGAUUGAAGGAAGUCGCUCGGUGUUCUUACCUGGGGAUAAAUCCCAAAUAGAAUAGGUGUAAAUCAACAAGUUUCUAUGAUCCGAGGGAGAUAAGUCUUCCUUUCACGGGCAUACUUUGCUAAAGAAGAGAGCAUCAAGAGUGGAAAUCGAAAGAAAAGGAAGGGCCUUCGCUUUCCAGAGAUGCUUUGGUGACAACGGUUUCUUCUUCUGCUGCUGCCAAAGAUGAGCAGGUAAGCGGGUUGUUUUCGAUCACUAGCUGCUCCUGUCUUUCACAACAGGAACUCGUGUAUCCGUCUCAUCGGUUGCUUUUGAGGCAGGUGUCUCUUAAGAGAAGUAAUUCUUUUUUCACCUGAGUUUAGCAUCAAUUUUCUAUCUUCUUUUGAUUCAACUACAGGAAAGAGCGGAUCUUCCUUCUUUGACUCUAGCUCUGAUAUUGGAAUAGUACCGAAAUCCGAUCAUCCAAGGAGGAACAAAGCCGGGAGCUACCCUUUUGGUCUUCUUUCUGAAUUCCCUUCUUCUGAGCUCUUUUCAGCAGUUGUCCACUCUUUUCAUAGGAGGGAGUUCGAUCUUCCUUUUCAGAGAUUAGUGGCAAUACCGAGCGAGAUGAAAGGAGAUCAGAGGAAAUUGUGCCUGAAAUAACCGGUCUUCCUUUCUUUAGCCGGAGCAGAUAUGGACAGGUAAAAUAGGCUUUCCAGCUAGGAAGGGUGUCAUCUGUCGAAAACAAGUAGAAAGAAGUAGUGGAUGUCAACAGAAGAUGGGACCAGCGGAUUAGAGCGAAAAGCUGGUGCCAAUAAGCUCAAGAAUUGGAUCCAGUACUAUAUUAGUAGUGGCAUUCCUCGGUGCCAGAUUAGGGCAAAGCUGAGGCAGAGGAGGCCAAAGAUAGGGCUAGAGCCGCACUAUGGAUAGGAGGUCAGCAGCGGAUAGCUAAGAUUGAAGUAAAUCAAAGAGCAGAUCCUGUGGCUGAAGGUAAUAAAGGCUUUACCAGCCAAAACCGGUACUCUAUUAAAGGCAUUCCUCGCAGGCAGAUCUCAUGAAUUGUAGUAAGAAUGUGGCAAAUAAGAGCUAGUUCUUCCUUUUGCUGACUUUUGACACCAGGUGAGCCGCAACUUGAUCAACUUUUGGAUGGGUCUCAAAGGGGAAAACGGGUUAGUGGCUUUUCGUAUUAGGUGAGCCGCAAAAUUCAUGAUUUGAAUAGGCCAUCCCGAGGGGAAAGUAAGUUAGUAGGUUUUGCCAUUAAGGGAGGCGGAUGAAUUAGCUCCUUCAACUCCCAACUCAGAUAAAAACCAGAGGGAAACAAGAGCUUCUCGUUGCAGUCACUCGGGAAUAA
RNAcentral lists this long non-coding RNA (3005 nucleotides) under Salvia miltiorrhiza (redroot sage). RNAcentral's name for it is "long non-coding RNA (SMIL_LNC000453)". The record is from RNAcentral. Lineage: Eukaryota; Viridiplantae; Streptophyta; Magnoliopsida; Lamiales; Lamiaceae.